AUUGAACGCUGGCGGAAUGCUUUACACAUGCAAGUCGAACGGCAGCACGGACUUCGGUCUGGUGGCGAGUGGCGAACGGGUGAGUAAUAUAUCGGAACGUAUCCAAUAAUGGGGGAUAACUAAUCGAAAGGUUGGCUAAUACCGCAUACGUCCUACGGGAGAAAGCUAGGGACCUUCGGGCCUGGCGUUAAUGGAGCGGCCGAUAUCGGAUUAGCUAGUUGGUGAGGUAAAGGCUCACCAAGGCGACGAUCCGUAGCUGGUCUGAGAGGACGACCAGCGACACUGGAACGGAGACACGGUCCGGACUCCUACGGGAGGCAGGAGUGGGGAAUUUUGGACAAUGGGCUAAAGCCUGAUCCAGACAUUCCGCGUGAGUGAAGAAGGCCUUCGGGUUGUAAAGCUCUUUCGCAAGAGAAGAAAACUUACCCUCUAACAUAGGGUGAGGUUGACGGUAUCUUGAUAAGAAGCACCGGCUAACUACGUGCCAGCAGCCGCGGUAA
Molecule: ribosomal RNA, 500 nt
Filed under: uncultured bacterium
Lineage: Bacteria
Description: partial 16S ribosomal RNA
Rfam family: Bacterial small subunit ribosomal RNA
Source: RNAcentral